RNAcentral lists this ribosomal RNA (301 nucleotides) under uncultured bacterium. Its description in RNAcentral is "partial 16S ribosomal RNA". It matches the Rfam family "Bacterial small subunit ribosomal RNA", at positions 509 to 809 of the family's 1533-position model. The record is from RNAcentral.
CAGUCGCCACGGUAAAACGAAGGGUGCAAGCGUUACUCGGAAUUACUGGGCGUAAAGCGUGCGUAGGUGGUGGUUUAAGUCCGUUGUGAAAGCCCUGGGCUCAACCUGGGAAUUGCAGUGGAUACUGGGUCACUAGAGUGUGGUAGAGGAUAGUGGAAUUUCCGGUGUAGCAGUGAAAUGCGUAGAGAUCGGAAGGAACAUCUGUGGCGAAGGCGACUAUCUGGGCCAACACUGACACUGAGGCACGAAAGCGUGGGUAGCAAACAGGAUUAGAUACCCCCGUAGUCCCUGUCUCUUAUAU